RNAcentral lists this ribosomal RNA (663 nucleotides) under uncultured fungus. RNAcentral's name for it is "SSU rRNA". It matches the Rfam family "Eukaryotic small subunit ribosomal RNA", at positions 440 to 1108 of the family's 1831-position model. The record is from RNAcentral. Lineage: Eukaryota; Fungi.
AUUACCCAAUCCCGACACGGGGAGGUAGUGACAAUAAAUAACAAUACAGGGUCCUUUCGGGUCCUGUAAUUGGAAUGAGUACAAUUUAAAUACCUUAACGAGGAACAAUUGGAGGGCAAGUCUGGUGCCAGCAGCCGCGGUAAUUCCAGCUCCAAUAGCGUAUAUUAAAGUUGCUGCAGUUAAAAAGCCCGUAGUCGAACUUCAGACCUGGCCGGGCGGUCUGCCUCACGGUACGUACUGUCCGGCUGGGCCUUACCUCUUGGUGAGCCGGCAUGCCCUUCACUGGGUGUGUCGGGGAACCAGGACUUUUACCUUGAGAAAAUUAGAGUGUUCAAAGCAGGCCUAUGCCCGAAUACAUUAGCAUGGAAUAAUAGAAUAGGACGUGCGGUUCUAUUUUGUUGGUUUCUAGAGUCGCCGUAAUGAUUAAUAGGGACAGUCGGGGGCAUUGGUAUUCAGGCGCUAGAGGUGAAAUUCUUGGAUUGCCUGAAGACUAACUACUGCGAAAGCAUUUGCCAAGGAUGUUUUCAUUGAUCAAGGACGAAGGUUAGGGGCUCGAAAACGAUCAGAUACCGUUGUAGUCUUAACAGUAAACUAUGCCGACUAGGGAUCGGGCGACCUCAAUAUGAUGUGUCGCUCGGCACCUUACGAGAAAUCAAAGUCUUU